CGAAAUCUGGUGCUGGUGACUUGAGGAAUCACUCUGCAUUUCAUUAAAUAAAUAUAUUGUUAAAUAUAGAAAGCAAAUAACCGAAUCCCUUAAAUUGUUGUGUAUAUGUUCAUCAUUUAGUAUGGUUAUGAAUUUCAUUUAUGUGCUCAUCUCUAUGUGAAGUCGAAUAACAGUAUAAACAUUGACAUAUUUGAAACGCACUUGAUUACAGAGUUAUUUACCUUAUUAACAAAUGCGCUAUUGUGUGCACUGCUGUUUUUUAUGUUGGCACAAUGAGAUUUCCAGAAGACAAACGAGACUUUUAAAGUUAACAUAUCCAUUUUGUUAUAGCAGGUGAAGAUGAAUUACCUCAUUGCCAGGUCUUUUUAAACGCGGCACAGUUUUAAUUUGCUACUAACGUUAUUAUUGGAAUUAAAAAUACAAGUUUAAUACAAAGUCGCAACGUGGAUAUGCCGACAUCAAACAAACGCCAAAAGUGUUUCUGCUACUUCUGUGGAAGGAUUUUUAGUGCAGAAGUCAUAGUCUCGUUCCAUAUCAAAAACAUCCAUGAACAAACAAUUCGCAACUCGCUUUGUCUGCGGUAAAAACAUGUAGCACAGUUUUAAACAUGAAAAGACAUCAACGCGUCGUCCACUUGAAAAAAGGGCCUCAUACGUGUUUUGUAUGCAACAAACAUUUGCUUGAAGGCGAGACAUUAACUAACAUAUGAGCAAGUCUCAUGGCAACGGAUACAAAUACAAGUGUGAAAAUUGGUGCAAGGAGUAUGCGUACAAACGAAGUACUGAACGACACGUGGCUGUGUGUGGCAGACAAAAACCAGAAGUCAUAUGUGAAAAGUUCAAAGAGCAUGUUGGGAAUGAAAUGAGGCCAACGGGCUGUUUGAUUUUAUUUAUGUAACGACUACAUUGUAUGCAUGUUUUAAUUACGUUAAUUGCUUAAUAUGUUUUGCUUCAGUAUAUAUUUUAUAUGUAAUUAAAGACAAUUUGUUUGUUUUUGUUUUAUUUUAAACUGCAUAAACUUUAUGCUACUGAGAUAAAAAAAAAUAUGCUUUAGAUUAAACUGUAUAACAUAUAUGAAAGUUUGCUCAAUAAUUGUAUUUCUUUCCCCUCUGAUAUUUGAUUAAAUUAUCAGUUAAUAAAUUUUAACGUACAUAUCAAAAUGCAAUUCAAGGUUGAAAUUUGACCACACUCGUAGUAAGUUUUUUUGUUUCCACUAACAUUGCCAAAACGUAGGGAAGGUAGGUCAGCGAAACUUUUUUCGUUUGACGUUGUUUACCUGUGCAAGAUAUUUUCAACUAAGCAAGUUCUUCUAAAUGUGUUUUCUGCUCCAAUUAGAAGUUAUUUUGGCACCAGAUUUGCAAAAUUAUCUUUAUAAUACCCAUAGCAAUUAGAUGUAAGAUUUAUCUUACUCUUAUAUAUUUUGUUUUACUUAAAACCGAUAUUUGAAGUUGAAAACUUGAUCAACAUUCUCCUUUGUUGAAGUGAAAUAUGUUCAUAAAGUUUUGGCUAUAGAUGCUGAACUGUAUUUUUAUAAUAUGUAUAGUCUCUUAUAACUCAAUUGUGAGUGGCAUUUAUGUACUAUGUUUUAAAGCUAUUUUAUAUAUGUUUUACUAGGUACAUGAUGAUGAGACUUUAAUAAACUAUCUUAUCUA
Dreissena polymorpha is the source of this 1651-nucleotide long non-coding RNA. RefSeq lists it as uncharacterized. The transcript is spliced from 2 exons. The record is from RefSeq and is a predicted model, not a curated record. NCBI's taxonomy places the organism in Eukaryota, Metazoa, Mollusca, Bivalvia, Myida, Dreissenidae.